UGGGGAAUAUUGCGCAAUGGGCGAAAGCCUGAUGCAGCGACGCCGCGUGAGGGAUGAAGGUUUUCGGAUCGUAAACCUCUGUCAGAAGGGAAGAAACUACAUUGUGCUAAUCAGCAGUGUACUGACGGUACCUUCAAAGGAAGCACCGGCUAACUCCGUGCCAGCAGCCGCGGUAAUACGGAGGGUGCAAGCGUUAAUCGGAAUUACUGGGCGUAAAGCGCACGUAGGCUGUAGUGUAAGUCAGGGGUGAAAUCCCACGGCUCAACCGUGGAACUGCCUUUGAUACUGCACAACUUGAACGCGGGAGAGGGUGGCGGAAUUCCAGGUGUAGGAGUGAAAUCCGUAGAUAUCUGGAGGAACAUCAGUGGCGAAGGCGGCCACCUGGACCGGUAUUGACGCUGAGGUGCGAAAGCGUGGGGAGCAAACAG
RNAcentral lists this ribosomal RNA (428 nucleotides) under uncultured bacterium. RNAcentral describes it as "bacterial SSU rRNA". It matches the Rfam family "Bacterial small subunit ribosomal RNA", at positions 355 to 775 of the family's 1533-position model. The record is from RNAcentral.